This is a long non-coding RNA of Neltuma alba, 93 nucleotides long. RefSeq lists it as uncharacterized. The transcript is spliced from 3 exons. The record is from RefSeq and is a predicted model, not a curated record. NCBI's taxonomy places the organism in Eukaryota, Viridiplantae, Streptophyta, Magnoliopsida, Fabales, Fabaceae.
UUCAAUUGGAUCAUAAAAUCGUGAUUGGAACCACAUAUGUUUGGUAAAAAGAAUAAUCUUCUCCUUUGAGAAUAAUCAAAAAAGGAAAGUGUU